Molecule: ribosomal RNA, 482 nt
Filed under: uncultured bacterium
Lineage: Bacteria
Description: bacterial SSU rRNA
Rfam family: Bacterial small subunit ribosomal RNA
Source: RNAcentral
GAUGAACGCUGACAGAAUGCUUAACACAUGCAAGUCGACUGGAAUUCUUCUUCGGAAGUUAGUACGGUGGCGGACGGGUGAGUAACGCGUAAAGAAUUUGCCCUUCAGAUUGGGACAACUAACCGAAAGGUUAGCUGAUACCGGAUAUUAUGAGACCUUGGCAUCAAGGACUUAUGAAAGCUAUAUGCGCUGAAGGAGAACUUUGCGUCCCAUUAGGUAGUUGGUAGGGUAAUGGCCUACCAAGCCGACGAUGGGUAGCCGGCCUGAGAGGGUGAACGGCCACAAGGGGACUGAGACACGGCCCUUACUCCUACGGGAGGCAGCAGUGGGGAAUAUUGGACAAUGGACCAAAAGUCUGAUCCAGCAAUUCUGUGUGCACGAUGAAGGUCUUCGGAUUGUAAAGUGCUUUCAGGUGGGAAGAAGAAAGUGACGGUACCACCAGAAGAAGCGACGGCUAAAUACGUGCCAGCAGCCGCUGUAAU